GACGAACGCUGGCGGCGUGCCUAAUACAUGCAAGUAGAACGCUGAAGGAGGAGCUUGCUUCUCUGGAUGAGUUGCGAACGGGUGAGUAACGCGUAGGUAACCUGCCUGGUAGCGGGGGAUAACUAUUGGAAACGAUAGCUAAUACCGCAUAAUAGUAGAUGUCGCAUGACAUUUGCUUAAAAGGUGCAAUUGCAUCACUACCAGAUGGACCUGCGUUGUAUUAGCUAGUUGGUGAGGUAACGGCUCACCAAGGCAACGAUACAUAGCCGACCUGAGAGGGUGAUCGGCGAAGCUGUGACUGAGAAACGGCCCAGACGCCUACGCGAGGCAGCAGUAGGGAAGCUACGGCAAUAGACGGAAGUCUGACCGAGCAACGCUGCGUGAGUGAAGAAGGUUUUCGGAUCGUAAAGCUCUGUUGUAUGAGAAGAACGAGUGUGAGAGUGGAAAGUUCACACUGUGGCGGUAUCUUACCAGAAAGGGACGGGUAACUACGUG
RNAcentral lists this ribosomal RNA (495 nucleotides) under uncultured bacterium. RNAcentral describes it as "partial 16S ribosomal RNA". It matches the Rfam family "Bacterial small subunit ribosomal RNA", at positions 28 to 507 of the family's 1533-position model. The record is from RNAcentral.